AACAUAAUAUAAUAUAUUAGUAUUAAAAUAAUACAAUAUAAUACGUCAAACACACACUAAAAAAAUUAAUUUUGGUCAACAAAAGAGUUGAUGUGUGCGGCAGAUUUCUAUGCCCGUUUUAAAGAGAAGCACAUGCACUCGGCCGUUCAAGGAACGGAAUUUCAAAAUGGCGAGUCGUUGAUUCGUUAUUAAUGAUGAAAAUAAUCAAAUGGUUGAGAACAGAGAAUCGUGUCACCAGCACAAUAACAUAGCUCGGGAACUGAGCCAAAACUAAAAUGGUCAAGCCCGCCGGCUAUGCUCAGGCAGUCAAACAAACUCAAUAAGAUGGCUAGCCACAGCUGUCUAGACUGUAGCUGUAUUCUUAUAGCAAAUCCUUCGCAUGCAUCUUCAUUCUCAUCUCUUCAUAGAUAAAUUAAUAAAAAGCGGUAAAAUGAGUAUCAUAAACAGAAUUUUUUUAAAAAAUAAAAUUAUCAAUCCGGUUAGAUUUUUAUCCGUAAAAUUCAUCUAUAUGCACCAUAAUCUUAAAUACGCGCAUCACAGGAAUACAAAAAAUAGAUGUUUCAUUCUUUCAUGAUUUUUUUUUUGUUCAAUUAAUUAUGAACCUAGCCUUAUAACUUGACAAUUUUUUUUUAUAAAAUUUAA
This 642-nucleotide long non-coding RNA is filed under the name Citrus x clementina. RNAcentral's name for it is "Citrus clementina (C. clementina) long non-coding RNA (CCLE_LNC004208)". Lineage: Eukaryota; Viridiplantae; Streptophyta; Magnoliopsida; Sapindales; Rutaceae. The record is from RNAcentral.